UACAGAGGUCUCAAGCGUUGUUCGGAUUCAUUGGGCGUAAAGGGUGCGUAGGCGGCGCGGUAAGUCGGGUGUGAAGUCUCGGAGCUUAACUCCGAAACUGCAUUCGAUACUGCCGUGCUUGAGGACUGGAGAGGAGACUGGAAUUUACGGUGUAGCGGUGAAAUGCGUAGAGAUCAUGAGGAAGACCAGUGGCGAAGGCGGGUCUCUGGACAGUUCCUGACACUGAGGCACGAAGGCCAGGGGAGCAAACGGG
Molecule: ribosomal RNA, 253 nt
Filed under: uncultured bacterium
Lineage: Bacteria
Description: partial 16S ribosomal RNA
Rfam family: Bacterial small subunit ribosomal RNA
Source: RNAcentral